Molecule: long non-coding RNA, 718 nt
Filed under: Theobroma cacao (cacao)
Lineage: Eukaryota; Viridiplantae; Streptophyta; Magnoliopsida; Malvales; Malvaceae
Description: long non-coding RNA (TCAC_LNC003121)
Source: RNAcentral
UAAAACAUUUAUUAAAAAUUAUAUUGCAACUAUUUGAAUAAAAUAAAAUUAUUCAAUAAAAUAUUCUAAUUUCUUGUAAAACAAUAUUUAUAGAGUCAUCGGUAAAUAAUUUUUAUAAUGUAAAAGCUAAAUAAAUUCAUACGUAUUAUAAUAUAGAUAACCGGGAUAUGAAAUUUACUUUACAGUGACUCAUGGGCCCACAAGGAACAAAAGUGCACAAAUGCAGUAAACCUACAGUUUUUGGAGUAGUAAAGCCGACUAUAAUCCUUGACGAUAUCUGCUAUCCAUAGGCUACCUCGGGCCUGAAAUGGUUGAAGAGGAAGGUGGUGAGAUUAUAAAAUCCCAGUGAGUAAACAGAUACCAUUUAAACUAUCUAAAGUCGAGUAAAUGGAGACAGAUAAAACAAUUUAACAUACUGAAAUUCAUCACCUUUCAACUUGUUUCAACCAAAUAAAAUCAAUUCAUAUAAAUCGAGUAAUUAACAUGCUUUAUGAAUUUCUUAAAAGCUUUGGCUCAUGCCAAAAUCAUUUUUAUACCCAGUUAUCAGGGAUGCCUUGAUCGAGGGCUAUCACAACCGAGUCCGCCAAGGCUGUUAAAAAGUUAUAUACGCAUAAAUCAUGUUUUCAUUUUAAAAACAUAGUCGUUCCUUGGCGUUAGCGGAGUUCAUCAUCAUGAGGUGGUUUGGCGUGAAGUGACCUCUAAAGUUAUACCUCGGGAG